Molecule: unclassified non-coding RNA, 1963 nt
Filed under: Buergeria robusta (robust Buerger's frog)
Lineage: Eukaryota; Metazoa; Chordata; Amphibia; Anura; Rhacophoridae
Description: partial contains 12S ribosomal RNA, tRNA-Val, and 16S ribosomal RNA
Rfam family: Bacterial large subunit ribosomal RNA (bases 643-1963)
Source: RNAcentral
AGAUACCCCACUAUGCCUAGCCGUAAAAUUAACUCACAUAACAAACGCCAGGGGAUUACGAGCUUUAGCUUAAAACCCAAAGGACUUGACGGUGACCCACCCAUCUAGAGGAGCCUGUUCUAUAAUCGAUAAUCCACGUUAUACCUUACCAUUUCUAGCUUUUUCAGCCUGUAUACCUCCGUCGUAAACUCACCGCUUGAACGCAUAAAAGUGUGUCCAAUGGCCACCCCACCAGCACGUCAGGUCAAGGUGCAGCUCAUGAAAUGGAAAGCAAUGGGCUACAAUUUCUAAUAUAGAAUAAACGAAAUACUGCAUGAAACACAGUCAUGAAGGAGGAUUUAGUAGUAAAGAGGGAGUAGAGAGCCCCCUUUAAUCUGGCCCUGGGACAUGUACAAACCGCCCGUCACCCUCUUCGAUAGCCUACUCACUUGCUACAUAACCUGAUUUCGCGCCUUAGAAGAGGCAAGUCGUAACAUGGUAAGUGUACUGGAAAGUGCACUUGGAACAACAAAAUGUAGCUUAACUAAAGCCCCUCGCUUACACCGAGCCAAUGUCUGUGAAACUCAGACCAUUUUGAGCCCCCAAUCCAGCCUAACACAUCCGCAUGUACACAGCAUACGAUAGACUAAAAAUAAAACAUUCUACUAUUCUAGUAGAGGUGAUCGAAAAAAUUCUUAGCGCCCCAGAUUUAGUACCGCAAGGGAAAGAUGAAAUAAUAAUGAAAUAAGAUUAAAGCACUAAAUAGCAGAGAUUCCCCCUCGUACCUUUUGCAUCAUGGUCUAGCUAGUUUAACCAAGCAAAACGAAACUUUUAGUUUGGCCCCCCGAAACUAAGCGAGCUACUUCAAAACAGCUUUAAGAGCCAACCCGUCUCUGUUGCAAAAGAGUGGGAUGAUUUUCAAGUAGCAGUGAUAAGCCUACCGAGCUUAGAGAUAGCUGGUUAUUCAAGAAAAGAAUAUUAGUUCUACCCUAAAUUUUAUUAUUACACCAAACAGUUCAAUAAAUUUAAGAGCUAUUCAAGUAAGGCACAGCUUACUUGAAACAGGAUACAACCUAAACUACCGGGUAAAAUUUCUUCUUUAUUACACAAGUGGGCCUAAAAGCAGCCACCUUUAAAAAAGCGUUAAAGCUUAGUUAAGCAAGAUUAAGUAAUACCAUAAUUAACCUUCAACCCUUCUCCAGUAUUGAAUGAAUCCAUAUAGAUAUGGAAGACAUUAUGCUAGAACUAGUAACAAGAAUUAGACAUUCUCCAAAAUGUAAGUAUAAACCAAAACUGACCAAAUUGGUAAUUAACGUAUAUGAGCCCACUGUAAUAACUUUGCUAGAAAACUUUACAGAAAUUCCCGUUAACCUCACACUAGAACAUUUCUGGAAAGAUUAACAGAGAGAGAAGGAACUCGGCAAAUUUUAGCCCCGCCUGUUUACCAAAAACAUCGCCUCUUGAUAAAAUAUAAGAGGUCCAGCCUGCCCAGUGACAAAGUUCAACGGCCGCGGUACCCUAACCGUGCGAAGGUAGCAUAAUCACUUGUUCUUUAAAUAGGGACUUGUAUCAACGGCAUCACGAGGGNUAUACUGUCUCCUCCCUCUAAUCAGUGAAACUGAUCUCCCCGUGAAGAAGCGGGGAUAUUCCUAUAAGACGAGAAGACCCCAUGGAGCUUCAAACUCAAGGCAACUCCCAGUAUACAAACCCUCAUAUUUCAAGAGUACUGCGUAACAGUUUUAGGUUGGGGUGACCGCGGAGCAUAAACAAACCUCCACGACGUAUAGAACUAAACCUUUAUCUAAGAGCUACUUCUCUAAGAAUCAGCAAACUGACGUAAAAUGACCCGAUAUCCGAUCAUCGAACCAAGUUACCCUGGGGAUAACAGCGCAAUCCGCUUCAAGAGCCCAUAUCGACAAGCGGGUUUACGACCUCGAUGUUGGAUCAGGGUAUCCCGGUGGUGCAGCCGCUACUAAUGGUUCGU